This 327-nucleotide ribosomal RNA is filed under the name Triticum aestivum (bread wheat). RNAcentral's name for it is "partial small subunit ribosomal RNA". Lineage: Eukaryota; Viridiplantae; Streptophyta; Magnoliopsida; Poales; Poaceae. The record is from RNAcentral.
AGGGUAUUCGUGCGUGGAUGGCAGCUCAGGAUUAGCCUCAUGAAAAUCUUAUAUUCCCCGAGGAGGUUCUACCACGUGGAAACGUUCUUUAAUGGAACUUUCGUUUUAGCUGGUCGUGACCAAGAAACCACCGGCUUUACUUGGUGGGCUGGGAAUGCCAGACUUAUCAAUUUGCCCGGUAAACUACUUGGAGCUCAUGUAGCCCAUGCCGGAUUAAUGGUAUUCUGGGCCGGAGCAAUGAACCUAUUUGAAGUGGCCCAUUUCGUACCAUCACAGAAAAUCAUCCUUUCCGGGCUUCUGGCCCAUCAUCAUGGGCCAUCAAGAUGA